Molecule: ribosomal RNA, 403 nt
Filed under: uncultured bacterium
Lineage: Bacteria
Description: partial 16S ribosomal RNA
Rfam family: Bacterial small subunit ribosomal RNA
Source: RNAcentral
AUUGAACGCUGGCGGCAGGCCUAACACAUGCAAGUCGAGCGAGCGGCGGACGGGUGAGUAAUGUAUGGGGACUGCCCGAUAGAGGGGGAUAACUACUGGAAACGGUGGCUAAUACCGCAUACUAUCGGAUAACCCAUAUAGGAUUAGCUAGUAGGUGGGGUAAAGGCUCACCUAGGCGACGAUCUCUAGCUGGUCUGAGAGGAUGAUCAGCCACAGUGUGACUGAGACACGGCCCAGACUCCAAGGGAGGAAGCAGUGGGGAAUAUUGCACAAGGGGCGCAAGCCUGAUGCAGCCAUGCCGCGUGAAUGAAGAAGGCCGUAGGGUUGUAAAGUAAUAUCAGCGGGGAGGAGUGACCCGCAGAAGAAGCACCGGCUAACUCCGUGCCAGCAGCCGCGGUAAUAC